This 772-nucleotide small RNA is filed under the name Pan troglodytes (chimpanzee). Its description in RNAcentral is "retained intron". The record is from RNAcentral. Lineage: Eukaryota; Metazoa; Chordata; Mammalia; Primates; Hominidae.
GGAGGGACCGCUGAUGGUGGUUUGCCUUCUCCCCGGCAGAUCUGUAUCUUCGUCGGGGAGACGCUGCUGUUUUCUAACUGGGCCAUCACUGCAGACAUCCUCAUGUACGUGGUCAUCCCCACGCGGCGCGCCACUGCCGUGGCCUUGCAGAGCUUCACCUCCCACCUGCUGGGGGACGCCGGGAGCCCCUACCUCAUUGGCUUUGUGAGUAGCCCCGGGGUGGGGCUGGCCGGGGGAGGCUGGGGGUCUUCAGGAGGGCUCUGCCCUGACCUCCACCCCCAAAUCCUCGCAGAUCUCAGACCUGAUCCGCCAGAGCACCAAGGACUCCCCGCUCUGGGAGUUCCUGAGCCUGGGCUACGCGCUCAUGCUCUGCCCUUUCGUUGUGGUCCUGGGCGGCAUGUUCUUCCUCGCCACUGCGCUCUUCUUCGUCAGCGACCGCGCCAGGGCUGAGCAGCAGUGAGUGGGGGGGGAGGGGAGGCCCCGCUGCGCAGCCGGGAAGUGGGGACCGUGAUAGCCACUGUGAGCCCUGCCCUGGGGCGGGGGGGGGGGGGUGCGGGGAGGGUACAGACCUCCCAUGCACCCAGUGGGUGACCUGGUUGCUGGGGUCCAGCCCUGAGGCCCAGUGCCAGGGUCAGCCUGGAGCUGUGGGAGGCCACGGGGGUGUCUGGUGGAUUCAGACUUGGGUUUGUCUCUGGACUCAGUGGUUUUCAAAGCUGGGACCCCUCCCCUUCCUCUUACUUUCUGACUUCUUUCUCCUUUCCUCUUUACUCCU